This 253-nucleotide ribosomal RNA is filed under the name uncultured bacterium. Its description in RNAcentral is "partial 16S ribosomal RNA". It matches the Rfam family "Bacterial small subunit ribosomal RNA", at positions 524 to 776 of the family's 1533-position model. The record is from RNAcentral.
UACGAAGGGGGCUAGCGUUGCUCGGAAUCACUGGGCGUAAAGCGCACGUAGGCGGAUUGCUAAGUCAGGGGUGAAAUCCUGGAGCUCAACUCCAGAACUGCCUUUGAUACUGGCGAUCUCGAGUCCGGGAGAGGUGAGUGGAACUGCGAGUGUAGAGGUGAAAUUCGUAGAUAUUCGCAAGAACACCAGUGGCGAAGGCGGCUCACUGGCCCGGUACUGACGCUGAGGUGCGAAAGCGUGGGGAGCAGACAGG